ACAGUCCGAAAGUUACGAUGCUCACCACACACUGCAAGACAUGUCAAAGAUCGUGAGUAGACUAAGGUCUGAGUAUUCUAUUCUCAAUCGACUCUUCCUGGGUUCAUUCCUAACGGACUGCGCGAUGUCCAGAAAUGCAAUAGCCAGUUUCCCCACGGUUACUGAGUUAGUAGGGACGGACAACUUUGAAAAUGCGUCGCAGAGAUCGGGUGAGCACCUUUCCUCACUUGAUUCCCUGUUGCGGUAGACGUGCCCAUCAUUGCGCGCAACGUGAUCGCGUUCUUCGUUCGCAUUCAUGUCCGCGUAUUAGGACAUCGGGUCCGACGAAUCAACCGCGGCUCGUACUAGCAGUCAUCAAUACUACACCCCAUCACGCGACUGCAACCAAGUCAACUCGAUUAUUUUUUCUCGUACGAGAUUUUUCAAUCAUCUUUUGAAACUCGAUUCAGACUACUCUUAGGACUGU
Molecule: RNase P RNA, 466 nt
Filed under: Paxillus involutus ATCC 200175
Lineage: Eukaryota; Fungi; Basidiomycota; Agaricomycetes; Boletales; Paxillaceae
Description: Nuclear RNase P
Rfam family: Nuclear RNase P
About the family: Ribonuclease P (RNase P) is a ubiquitous endoribonuclease, found in archaea, bacteria and eukarya as well as chloroplasts and mitochondria. Its best characterised activity is the generation of mature 5'-ends of tRNAs by cleaving the 5'-leader elements of precursor-tRNAs.
Source: Rfam by way of RNAcentral